GGAAUAUUGGACAAUGGGGGCAACCCUGAUCCAGCCAUGCCGCGUGAGUGAUGAAGGCCUUCGGGUUGUAAAGCUCUUUUGGCGGGGACGAUGAUGACGGUACCCGCAGAAUAAGCCCCGGCUAACUUCGUGCCAGCAGCCGCGGUAAGACGAAGGGGGCUAGCGUUGUUCGGAAUUACUGGGCGUAAAGCGAGUGUAGGUGGUUGUCCAAGUUGGAUGUGAAAGCCUUGAGCUCAACUCAAGAAAUGCAUUCAGGACUGGAUGACUAGAGGACCGGAGAGGAUAGUGGAAUUCCCAGUGUAGUGGUGAAAUACGUAGAUAUUGGGAAGAACACCAGUGGCGAAGGCGGCUAUCUGGACGGUUUCUGACACUAAGACUCGAAAGCGUGGGGAGCAAACAGGAUUAGAUACCCUGGUAGUCCACGCCGUAAACGAUGGGUGCUAGACGUUGGCGAGCUUGCUCGUCAGUGUCGCAGCUAACGCGUUAAGCACCCCGCCUGGGGAGUACGGCCGCAAGGUUGAAACUCAAAUGAAUUGACGG
This 540-nucleotide ribosomal RNA is filed under the name uncultured bacterium. RNAcentral describes it as "bacterial SSU rRNA". It matches the Rfam family "Bacterial small subunit ribosomal RNA", at positions 358 to 916 of the family's 1533-position model. The record is from RNAcentral.